This 1070-nucleotide ribosomal RNA is filed under the name Cladosporium sphaerospermum. RNAcentral describes it as "SSU rRNA". It matches the Rfam family "Eukaryotic small subunit ribosomal RNA", at positions 57 to 1135 of the family's 1831-position model. The record is from RNAcentral. Lineage: Eukaryota; Fungi; Ascomycota; Dothideomycetes; Cladosporiales; Cladosporiaceae.
GUCUAAGUAUAAGCAACUAUACGGUGAAACUGCGAAUGGCUCAUUAAAUCAGUUAUCGUUUAUUUGAUAGUACCUUACUACAUGGAUAACCGUGGUAAUUCUAGAGCUAAUACAUGCUAAAAACCUCGACUUCGGAAGGGGUGUAUUUAUUAGAUAAAAAACCAAUGCCCUUCGGGGCUCCUUGGUGAAUCAUAAUAACUUAACGAAUCGCAUGGCCUUGCGCCGGCGAUGGUUCAUUCAAAUUUCUGCCCUAUCAACUUUCGAUGGUAGGAUAGUGGCCUACCAUGGUAUCAACGGGUAACGGGGAAUUAGGGUUCGACUCCGGAGAGGGAGCCUGAGAAACGGCUACCACAUCCAAGGAAGGCAGCAGGCGCGCAAAUUACCCAAUCCCGACACGGGGAGGUAGUGACAAUAAAUACUGAUACAGGGCUCUUUUGGGUCUUGUAAUUGGAAUGAGUACAAUUUAAAUCCCUUAACGAGGAACAAUUGGAGGGCAAGUCUGGUGCCAGCAGCCGCGGUAAUUCCAGCUCCAAUAGCGUAUAUUAAAGUUGUUGCAGUUAAAAAGCUCGUAGUUGAACCUUGGGCCUGGCUGGCCGGUCCGCCUCACCGCGUGUACUGGUCCGGCCGGGCCUUUCCUUCUGGGGAACCUCAUGCCCUUCACUGGGCGUGCUGGGGAACCAGGACUUUUACUUUGAAAAAAUUAGAGUGUUCAAAGCAGGCCUUUGCUCGAAUACAUUAGCAUGGAAUAAUAGAAUAGGACGUGUGGUUCUAUUUUGUUGGUUUCUAGGACCGCCGUAAUGAUUAAUAGGGAUAGUCGGGGGCAUCAGUAUUCAAGCGUCAGAGGUGAAAUUCUUGGAUUGCUUGAAGACUAACUACUGCGAAAGCAUUUGCCAAGGAUGUUUUCAUUAAUCAGUGAACGAAAGUUAGGGGAUCGAAGACGAUCAAGAUACCGUCGUAGUCUUAACCAUAAACUAUGCCGACUAGGGAUCGGGCGGUGUUAGUAUUUUGACCCGCUCGGCACCUUACGAGAAAUCAAAGUUUUUGGGUUCUGGGGGGAGUAUGGUCGCAAG